RNAcentral lists this unclassified non-coding RNA (219 nucleotides) under uncultured Thelephoraceae. Its description in RNAcentral is "sequence contains ITS2". Lineage: Eukaryota; Fungi; Basidiomycota; Agaricomycetes; Thelephorales; Thelephoraceae. The record is from RNAcentral.
ACACCUCAACUCUCGUGGCUUUGCCAUGAUGAGCUUGGACUUUGGGGGUCUUGCUGGCCUGCGGUCAGCUCCUCUCAAAUGAAUUAGCUUGCCAGUGUUUGGUGGCAUCACGGGUGUGAUAACUAUCUACGCUUGUGGUUUUCCACCAGGUAACCUUCAGUGAUGAAGGUUCUCUGGAGCUCAUAAAUGUCUCUCCUCAGCGAGGACAGCUCUUUGAAC